UACGGGGGGGGCAAGCGUUGUUCGGAAUUACUGGGCGUAAAGGGCUCGUAGGCGGCCAACUAAGUCAGACGUGAAAUCCCUCGGCUUAACCGGGGAACUGCGUCUGAUACUGGAUGGCUUGAGUUUGGGAGAGGGAUGCGGAAUUCCAGGUGUAGCGGUGAAAUGCGUAGAUAUCUGGAAGAACACCCGUGGCGAAGGCGGCUCUCUGGGACGGUACUGACGCUGAGACGCGAAAGCGUGGGGAGCAAACAGG
This 253-nucleotide ribosomal RNA is filed under the name uncultured bacterium. Its description in RNAcentral is "partial 16S ribosomal RNA". It matches the Rfam family "Bacterial small subunit ribosomal RNA", at positions 524 to 776 of the family's 1533-position model. The record is from RNAcentral.